This 407-nucleotide ribosomal RNA is filed under the name uncultured bacterium. RNAcentral describes it as "partial 16S ribosomal RNA". It matches the Rfam family "Bacterial small subunit ribosomal RNA", at positions 29 to 526 of the family's 1533-position model. The record is from RNAcentral.
AUUGAACGCUGGCGGCAGGCCUAACACAUGCAAGUCGAGCGGAGCGGGAGACGGGUGAGUAAUGCCUAGGAAUCUGACUGGGAGUGGGGGAUAAGGACAAGAAACGGGAGCUAAUACCGAAUACUAUCAGAUGAGGCUAGGUCGGAUUGGCUAGUGGGUGGGGUAAGGGCCCACAAAGGGGACGAGCCGGAACUGGUCUGAGAGGAGGAUCAGCCACACUGGACCUGAGACACGGUCCAGACUCCUACGGGAGGCAGCAGUGGGGAAUAUUGGACAAUGGGCGAAAGCCUGGUCCAGCCAUGCCGCGUGUGUGAAGAAGGUCUUCGGGUUGUAAAGCACUUUAAGUUGGGAGGCGUUACCCGCAGAAUAAGCACCGGCUAACUUCGUGCCAGCAGCCGCGGUAAUUC